This 2228-nucleotide ribosomal RNA is filed under the name Phacus ranula. Its description in RNAcentral is "SSU rRNA". It matches the Rfam family "Eukaryotic small subunit ribosomal RNA". The record is from RNAcentral. Lineage: Eukaryota; Euglenozoa; Euglenophyceae; Euglenales; Phacaceae.
CUGGUGAUCUGCCAGUAGUCGUAUGCUUCGUUCAAGGGCUAAGCCAUGCAUGUCUCAGCGUACAUGGACUCAACAGUGGAUCUGUGAAUGGCUCCUUACAUCAGCAGUCAUCUCUGUGAUAGAGUGUGGAUGGCAUCAGCUCCCAGAUGCCCAACUGGACAUCCUCCAAAACCUAGUGGCUAAUACACGGUCGCCCAAGUCUGCCUCACCAAGAGCUCUGUUUGCUGUGUGGUCUCUGUUGCUUCCCGCUUCAGAGCUGGUGGUGGAUUGCACCCAGCCGCUGGCAAGACUAGCACCCGCAUUCAGGGUAGUGUGUGACGGUUGACUCAGGCUGGUCCCCUUCAUCCUGUGGACGGUUGCGCUGGCAGAGUGGUGGCCUCAUGGUCACAGCAUUGCUUGAUCACACGAGCUUCUGACCUAUCAGCUUUGACUGUGCUGUCUUGGACCACAGUGGCAGUGACGGGUAACAGAGAAUCAGGGUUCGAUUCUGGAGAGGGAGCCUGAGAGAUGGCUACCACUACCAAGGUGGGCAGCAGGCACGCAAAUUGCCCAAUGCUGAAGCAACUCCGGUGAGGCAGCAACGAACUGCAGCAACCCCGCCUGUCCUUGUGAUCGGUGGGGCUUGGAAUGGAUGCAAUCCAAACACAGUGAUGAGUAUCAACUGGAGGGCAAGUCUGGUGCCAGCAGCCGCGGUAAUUCCAGCUCCAUGAGUGUACACUAACACUGCUGCUGUUAAAACACUUGUAGUCGGAUGCUGGGUGCAGGUCUGCCAGGUGGCCAUCCGUCCGUUGCCUCGUGUGACGGCGGUGGAACUCAACCCCUGGCAGUAAGUUCCUGCACCCGACCUUCAAUGUUGGUGUGACUCGUCCCUGCUCCAAGUCUCCUUCAGUGGGGAUCGAUGCUGUUGUGCAUGCCAAACGCUCAUGUGCUGGCAAGCUGGGUCAGAGCUCUGUGCUCUGCAACUCCCACUGCCCACGACCGGGAUCAACCAACGCAGUCACUGUGGAGAACUCAGUGUGCCUCAAGCAGCCAGUCUCGGCUGGAUGCUCGUCCAUGGAAUGUCAAAGCAUUGACCUGAUGCGGCUAUGGAGUUGUGCUACGUCUUGGUGCUCAUUCAGGGGAAUCUGGUGCAGCGGCCUUCUGGGUCUGUUGGGCUUCAGCCCGCCCCCGUGGCAGGUUGGUCUGCGGCCUGUUGGUUUGCUGUACUGUUCAGCCAUGAUGGGACUGCUCAGGGUGAAGGCUACUGCAGCGCUAGUGGUGAAAUACUCAGACCGCUGCAAGAGCAACUGCAGCGAAGGCGCUCUGCAAGGGCAUGUUCGUCGAUCAAGAAUGAGAGUGUGGGGAGCGAAGAUGAUCAGACACCGUCGUAGUCCACCACUGUAAACCAUGCCAGCUCAGUGUUGAAGGUGCAAGUCUCCUGACUCCUCCAGCGCUAUGCCCCCAGCAACGAGAAAUCCAAGCCUUUGGGUUCAGGGGGAAGUACUGUCGCAAGGCUGAAACUUAAAGGAAUUGACGGAAUGGCACCACCAGGCGUGGAAUGUGCGGCUUAAUUUGACUCAACACGGGGAAGCUUACCAGGCCAGGACGUUGCUGGGAUGGACAGACUGAGAGCUCUUUCUUGAUCCUUCGGCUGGUGGUGCAUGGCCGCUCCUGAUUGGUGGAGUGAUUUGUCUGGUUGAUUCCGAUAACGAGUGAGAUCUCUGCCUCCCAAUAGCCCCAGCUCUGCACUUGGUAGAGUCUAGGCCGUGGUGUCUGCAUUGCCGGCUGGUUCGGCGGUGUGGCCCUGGUCCUUGCUCGAAGAGCGUGGGUUCAGCUUCUCUGAGGUGCUGUGUGUGCUGCCAAACACAUGCAUGCUAGAGCCAACAGCAGGUCUGUGAUGCUCCCAGAUGCCCUGGGCCGCACGCGCAUUACAUUGAGCUGGUGAGUGAGUGCUGCACAUCUCUGAGUGUGCCCUGUGUGGAAGUGCAUGGGAAACCCUGUGAACCCAAUGUCGCUCGUACUGGGGAUAGAUGAUUGCAACUGUCUGCCUUGAACGAGGAAUGCCUAGUAAGCUCCAGUCAUCAGCUGGAACUGAUUGCGUCCCUGCCAUUUGUACACACCGCCCGUCGUUGCUACCGAUGGCAGCUUGAUAGAGCCAUCUGGAGACUGCAGUGGGUGACCGUGCUCCGGCUCGGUGGGCCUCUGGGUCAAACUUGGGCAAUGUCCAGCUGCUAGAGGAAGCAAAAGUC